AAACAGUCCUGAACGGUUUAUACGAGCAUGAGCAUAAAUUAUACGUUAAUGUGUAUGAUGAAAAGGUAAAUUCAAAUUUUAGAUUGUUGUAUAAAUGAAAAAUGAGUUGAUUGCCCUAAUACAAUGCACUGGUCAAUUUACAGGUUCUUAAGUGUUGGUAUAUGAAGAAUAGAUGUUUGCGUGAGGUAUACAACUAAAAUCUCAGAAUGGGCUAUUUAUGAAUAAUUACAUCAAACCAAUUAUUAAAAUCAUAUAAAAAUUUUGAAAACCAAAUGGAUUGGAACUAGCUAAUAAGUGUCAAUAAUUCGAAUUUGCCA
Molecule: non-coding RNA, 317 nt
Organism: Schizosaccharomyces pombe (fission yeast)
Lineage: Eukaryota; Fungi; Ascomycota; Schizosaccharomycetes; Schizosaccharomycetales; Schizosaccharomycetaceae
Source: the annotation of a GenBank genome assembly